CAACGGCGACGCUCGCGAUCCCGCUGGAGGGGCUCACACUCACAGCGCCGCAGCCGGAGAUGCUCUCGCAGAAGAACGUC
RNAcentral lists this unclassified non-coding RNA (80 nucleotides) under Sorangium cellulosum So ce56. Lineage: Bacteria; Pseudomonadati; Myxococcota; Polyangiales; Polyangiaceae. The record is from RNAcentral.